This 253-nucleotide ribosomal RNA is filed under the name uncultured bacterium. RNAcentral's name for it is "partial 16S ribosomal RNA". It matches the Rfam family "Bacterial small subunit ribosomal RNA", at positions 524 to 776 of the family's 1533-position model. The record is from RNAcentral.
UACGAAGGGGGCUAGCGUUGUUCGGAAUUACUGGGCGUAAAGGGCGCGCAGGCGGUCGCUCAAGUCAGGCGUGAAAGCCCCGGGCUCAACCUGGGAAUAGCGCUUGAGACUGAGCGACUUGAGUUCGGGAGAGGAGAGCGGAAUUCCCAGUGUAGAGGUGAAAUUCGUAGAUAUUCGCAAGAACACCAGUGGCGAAGGCGGCUCACUGGCCCGAUACUGACGCUGAGGUGCGAAAGCGUGGGGAGCAAACAGG